This 245-nucleotide ribosomal RNA is filed under the name uncultured bacterium. RNAcentral describes it as "partial 16S ribosomal RNA". It matches the Rfam family "Bacterial small subunit ribosomal RNA", at positions 524 to 769 of the family's 1533-position model. The record is from RNAcentral.
UACGUAGGGUGCGAGCGUUAAUCGGAAUUACUGGGCGUAAAGCGUGCGCAGGCGGUGAUGUAAGACAGGUGUGAAAUCCCCGGGCUUAACCUGGGAACUGCAUUUGUGACUGCAUCGCUGGAGUGCGGCAGAGGGGGAUGGAAUUCCGCGUGUAGCAGUGAAAUGCGUAGAUAUGCGGAGGAACACCGAUGGCGAAGGCAAUCCCCUGGGCCUGCACUGACGCUCAUGCACGAAAGCGUGGGAGC